UAAUACGUAGGGUGCAAGCGUUGUCCGGAAUUAUUGGGCGUAAAGAGCUCGUAGGCGGUCUGUCGCGUCGGAUGUGAAACCCCGGGGCUCAACUCCGGGCCUGCAUUCGAUACGGGCAGACUAGAGUGUGGUAGGGGAGACUGGAAUUCCUGGUGUAGCGGUGAAAUGCGCAGAUAUCAGGAGGAACACCGGUGGCGAAGGCGGGUCUCUAGGCCAAUACUGACGCUGAGGAGCGAAAGCGUGGGGAGCAAACAGG
This 256-nucleotide ribosomal RNA is filed under the name uncultured archaeon. RNAcentral describes it as "partial 16S ribosomal RNA". It matches the Rfam family "Bacterial small subunit ribosomal RNA", at positions 521 to 776 of the family's 1533-position model. The record is from RNAcentral.